AUGAAGGGCCUGGAAAGAAUUGCUUCUGAAGAUUUGCUGGAUCAACUUGUCAAGUUAUGGGAACUGCUGCAACCCAUUGUCCUCACAAAUGUUCCUGACACCAUCCGAUGGAAGCUCACUAAUGACGGAGGUUAUUCCGUUGCGUCUGCUUACAAUGCUUAGUUUGUUGGCCGGAUCGCUCAGCCAGAGUUGCAUGCCUCAUGGAGGAUUAAGGCUGAGCCGAAGGUGAAGUUCCAUCUAUGGCUAUUGAUCCAGAAUAGGACCUGGACGGCUGAUCGUCUUGCAACAAGGGGUUGGCCACACAAAGACAAAUGUAGUUUCUGUGAUCAAGUUCUGGAGUCGGCUGCCCAUAUUACACUCUCUUGCCCUUUUGCCCGAGAGGUCUGGUUCUCCUUCCAGCAGAGCGACCCAGAGGCUGCUGUUGUUGGUUCAACUUCGAUGACAAUCAAAGGCUGGUGGAAACGGACCUGGAACCUGCACAACAACCCGAUUUUUCACAUGCAAAUCACAUCGGCUGCUUAUGUUGCUUGGAAUCUUUGGAAAGAAAGAAAUAGGCGACCUUUUGAAGGAAAGAGAUGCUCACCUGAAACAGUUGCUGCUAUGGCCAGAGACAAGAUUGCUUUGUUCAAGGAGGCUACUGCUUAG
RNAcentral lists this ribosomal RNA (645 nucleotides) under Triticum aestivum (bread wheat). RNAcentral describes it as "partial small subunit ribosomal RNA". The record is from RNAcentral. Lineage: Eukaryota; Viridiplantae; Streptophyta; Magnoliopsida; Poales; Poaceae.